Molecule: ribosomal RNA, 258 nt
Filed under: uncultured bacterium
Lineage: Bacteria
Description: partial 16S ribosomal RNA
Rfam family: Bacterial small subunit ribosomal RNA
Source: RNAcentral
CCGGCGCACGGGUGCGUAACGCGUAUGCAACCUCCCAUCAACAGGGGGAUAACACUGAGAAAUUGGUACUAAUACCCCAUAAUAUCUCAUGCGGCAUCGCAUGGGGUUGAAAACUCCGGUGGUUGAUGAUGGGCAUGCGUUGUAUUAGCUGGUUGGUGAGGUAACGGCUCACCAAGGCGACGAUACAUAGGGGGACUGAGAGGUUAACCCCCCACAUUGGUACUGAGACACGGACCAAACUCCUACGGAAGGCAGCAG